GGGUUGUGAGGUUAAGCGACCAAGCGUACACGGUGGAUGCCCUGGCAGUCAGAGGCGAUGAAGGACGUGCUAAUCUGCGAAAAGCGCCGGUAAGGUGAUAUGAACCGUUAUAACCGGCGAUGUCCGAAUGGGGAAACCCAGUGUGACUCGUCACACUAUCAUUAACUGAAUCCAUAGGUUAAUGAGGCGAACCGGGGGAACUGAAACAUCUAAGUACCCCGAGGAAAAGAAAUCAACCGAGAUUCCCCCAGUAGCGGCGAGCGAACGGGGAGGAGCCCAGAGCCUGAAUCAGCAUGUGUGUUAGUGGAAGCGUCUGGAAAGGCGCGCGAUACAGGGUGACAGCCCCGUACACAAAAGCGCAUGUGCUGUGAGCUCGAUGAGUAGGGCGGGACACGUGGUAUCCUGUCUGAAUAUGGGGGGACCAUCCUCCAAGGCUAAAUACUCCUGACUGACCGAUAGUGAACCAGUACCGUGAGGGAAAGGCGAAAAGAACCCCGGCGAGGGGAGUGAAACAGAACCUGAAACCGUGUACGUACAAGCAGUGGGAGCAUGAGUUUACUCAUGUGACUGCGUACCUUUUGUAUAAUGGGUCAGCGACUUAUAUUCUGUAGCAAGGUUAACCGUAUAGGGGAGCCGGAGGGAAACCGAGUCUUAACCGGGCGUUAAGUUGCAGGGUAUAGACCCGAAACCCGGUGAUCUAGCCAUGGGCAGGUUGAAGGUUGGGUAACACUAACUGGAGGACCGAACCGACUAAUGUUGAAAAAUUAGCGGAUGACCUGUGGCUGGGGGUGAAAGGCCAAUCAAACCGGGAGAUAGCUGGUUCUCCCCGAAAGCUAUUUAGGUAGCGCCUCGUGAAUUCAUCUCCGGGGGUAGAGCACUGUUUCGGCCAGGGGGCCAUCCCGGCUUACCAACCCGAUGCAAACUGCGAAUACCGGAGAAUGUUAUCACGGGAGACACACGGCGGGUGCUAACGUCCGUCGUGAAGAGGGAAACAACCCAGACCGCCAGCUAAGGUCCCAAAGUCAUGGUUAAGUGGGAAACGAUGUGGGAAGGCCCAGACAGCCAGGAUGUUGGCUUAGAAGCAGCCAUCAUUUAAAGAAAGCGUAAUAGCUCACUGGUCGAGUCGGCCUGCGCGGAAGAUGUAACGGGGCUAAACCAUGCACCGAAGCUGCGGCAGCGACACUGUGUGUUGUUGGGUAGGGGAGCGUUCUGUAAGCCUGCGAAGGUGGCCUGUGAGGGUUGCUGGAGGUAUCAGAAGUGCGAAUGCUGACAUAAGUAACGAUAAUGCGGGUGAAAAACCCGCACGCCGGAAGACCAAGGGUUCCUGUCCAACGUUAAUCGGGGCAGGGUGAGUCGACUCCUAAGGCGAGGCCGAAAGGCGUAGUCGAUGGGAAACGGGUUAAUAUUCCCGUACCUGGUGUUACUGCGAAGGGGGGACGGAGAAGGCUAUGUUGGCCGGGCGACGGUUGUCCCGGUUUAAGCGUGUAGGCUGGUUUUCCAGGCAAAUCCGGAAAAUCAAGGCUGAGGCGUGACGACGAGGCACUACGGUGCUGAAGCAACAAAUGCCCUGCUUCCAGGAAAAGCCUCUAAGCCUCAGGUAACAUCAGAUCGUACCCGAAACCGACACAGGUGGUCAGGUAGAGAAUACCAAGGCGCUUGAGAGAACCCGGGUGAAGGAACUAGGCAAAAUGGUGCCGUAACUUCGGGAGAAGGCACGCUGACACGUAGGUGAAGCGGUUUACCCGUGGAGCUGAAGUCAGUCGAAGAUACCAGCUGGCUGCAACUGUUUAUUAAAAACACAGCACUGUGCAAACACGAAAGUGGACGUAUACGGUGUGACGCCUGCCCGGUGCCGGAAGGUUAAUUGAUGGGGUCAGCGCAAGCGAAGCUCCUGAUCGAAGCCCCGGUAAACGGCGGCCGUAACUAUAACGGUCCUAAGGUAGCGAAAUUCCUUGUCGGGUAAGUUCCGACCUGCACGAAUGGCGUAAUGAUGGCCAGGCUGUCUCCACCCGGGACUCAGUGAAAUUGAACUCGCUGUGAAGAUGCAGUGUACCCGCGGCAAGACGGAAAGACCCCGUGAACCUUUACUAUAGCUUGACACUGAACACUGGUCCUUGAUGUGCAGGAUAGGUGGGAGGCUUUGAAGUGUGGACGCCAGUCUGCAUGGAGCCGUCCUUGAAAUACCACCCUUUAAUGGCUGGUGUUCUAACGUAGACCCGUGAACCGGGUUGCGGACAGUGUCUGGUGGGUAGUUUGACUGGGGCGGUCUCCUCCUAAAGCGUAACGGAGGAGCACGAAGGUUGGCUAAUCCUGGUCGGACAUCAGGAGGUUAGUGCAAUGGCAUAAGCCAGCUUGACUGCGAGCGUGACGGCGCGAGCAGGUGCGAAAGCAGGUCAUAGUGAUCCGGUGGUUCUGAAUGGAAGGGCCAUCGCUCAACGGAUAAAAGGUACUCCGGGGAUAACAGGCUGAUACCGCCCAAGAGUUCAUAUCGACGGCGGUGUUUGGCACCUCGAUGUCGGCUCAUCACAUCCUGGGGCUGAAGUAGGUCCCAAGGGUAUGGCUGUUCGCCAUUUAAAGUGGUACGCGAGCUGGGUUUAGAACGUCGUGAGACAGUUCGGUCCCUAUCUGCCGUGGGCGCUGGAGAACUGAGGGGGGCUGCUCCUAGUACGAGAGGACCGGAGUGGACGCAUCACUGGUGUUCGGGUUGUCAUGCCAAUGGCACUGCCCGGUAGCUAAAUGCGGAAGAGAUAAGUGCUGAAAGCAUCUAAGCACGAAACUUGCCCCGAGAUGAGUUCUCCCUGAGACUUUAGUCUCCUGAAGGAACGUUGAAGACGACGACGUUGAUAGGCCGGGUGUGUAAGCGCAGCGAUGCGUUGAGCUAACCGGUACUAAUGAACCGUGAGGCUUAACCUUACAACGCCGAAG
Molecule: ribosomal RNA, 2925 nt
Filed under: Salmonella enterica subsp. arizonae serovar 62:z36:- str. RKS2983
Lineage: Bacteria; Pseudomonadati; Pseudomonadota; Gammaproteobacteria; Enterobacterales; Enterobacteriaceae
Description: bacterial LSU rRNA
Rfam family: Bacterial large subunit ribosomal RNA
Source: RNAcentral